GCCGGCAUGGCAUAGUGGUUUAAGUGUCAGGCUGCCAUUCUGGAGACCAGGGUUCGGUUCCCAGCUCAGCCA
Molecule: non-coding RNA, 72 nt
Organism: Phrynosoma platyrhinos (Desert horned lizard)
Lineage: Eukaryota; Metazoa; Chordata; Lepidosauria; Squamata; Phrynosomatidae
Source: the annotation of a GenBank genome assembly